RNAcentral lists this ribosomal RNA (508 nucleotides) under uncultured bacterium. RNAcentral's name for it is "bacterial SSU rRNA". It matches the Rfam family "Bacterial small subunit ribosomal RNA", at positions 15 to 523 of the family's 1533-position model. The record is from RNAcentral.
GAUCCUGGCUCAGGAUGAACGCUGGCGGCGUGCUUAACACAUGCAAGUCGAGCGAAGCGCUUAAACGGAUUUCUUCGGAUUGAAGUUUUUGUGACUGAGCGGCGGACGGGUGAGUAACGCGUGGGCAACCUGCCCCAUACCGGGGGAUAACAGCUGGAAACGGCUGCUAAUACCGCAUAAGCGCACAGUGCCGCAUGGCACGGUGUGAAAAACUCCGGUGGUAUGGGAUGGGCCCGCGUUGGAUUAGCCAGUUGGCAGGGUAACGGCCUACCAAAGCGACGAUCCAUAGCCGGCCUGAGAGGGCGACCGGCCACAUUGGGACUGAGACACGGCCCAAACUCCUACGGGAGGCAGCAGUGGGGAAUAUUGCACAAUGGGGGAAACCCUGAUGCAGCGACGCCGCGUGAGCGAAGAAGUAUUUCGGUAUGUAAAGCUCUAUCAGCAGGGAAGAAAAUGACGGUACCUGACUAAGAAGCCCCGGCUAACUACGUGCCAGCAGCCGCGGUAA